UCUGCCUUUGUGUGCUUUCUCUCUCUCCUGCUUCCAAGUCAAGAUGUGCUGGCUUCUCCUUUGCCCUUCUGUCAUUAUUGUAAGUUUCAUGAGGCCUCGGAGCCACGCUUCCUGUAUAGCCUGCAGAACUGUGAUCAUUCCACUCUUCUGCUAAUGUCAUGUUCUGGUUCAGGGAGUCCUCCAGGGAUGGCCAUACCUUUCUCUCCAAGAGCUUUGGCGAACUCUACUCCAAUCUGAACAGGUUACUCAAUGUGAAGAUGACAACAAGGGUGAAGACUUUAAUGAUGAUCCACUUCCACUUAAAAAAUAAUAAAUAUAUUUUCUCCUCCUU
RNAcentral lists this long non-coding RNA (331 nucleotides) under Homo sapiens (human). RNAcentral describes it as "HSALNT0394043". Lineage: Eukaryota; Metazoa; Chordata; Mammalia; Primates; Hominidae. The record is from RNAcentral.